UUAGAGUCUCCUGAAGGAACGUUGAAGACGACGACGUUGAUAGGCCGGGUGUGUAAGCGCAGCGAUGCGUUGAGCUAACCGGUACUAAUGAACCGUGAGGCUUAACCUUACAACGCCGAAGCUGUU
Molecule: ribosomal RNA, 126 nt
Filed under: Salmonella enterica subsp. enterica serovar Infantis
Lineage: Bacteria; Pseudomonadati; Pseudomonadota; Gammaproteobacteria; Enterobacterales; Enterobacteriaceae
Description: partial 23S ribosomal RNA
Rfam family: Bacterial large subunit ribosomal RNA (bases 1-109)
Source: RNAcentral